UACGGAGGGUGCAAGCGUUGUCCGGAAUCAUUGGGUGUAAAGGGUGCGUAGGCGGGCGCCUAAGUCGGAGGUGAAAUCCUGCCGCUUAACGGUAAAAUUGCCUUUGAUACUGGGUUUCUUGAGUGCAGAAGAGGUCGGUGGAAUUCGUAGUGUGGCGGUGAAAUGCAUAGAUAUUGCGAAGAACAUCAGUGGCGAAGGCGGCCGACUGGACUGCAACUGACGCUGAGGCACGAAAGCGUGGGUAGCAAACAGG
RNAcentral lists this unclassified non-coding RNA (253 nucleotides) under uncultured Bacteroidota bacterium. RNAcentral's name for it is "uncultured Bacteroidetes bacterium contains 16S-23S intergenic spacer region". It matches the Rfam family "Bacterial small subunit ribosomal RNA", at positions 524 to 776 of the family's 1533-position model. The record is from RNAcentral. Lineage: Bacteria; Pseudomonadati; Bacteroidota.